Molecule: ribosomal RNA, 397 nt
Filed under: uncultured bacterium
Lineage: Bacteria
Description: partial 16S ribosomal RNA
Rfam family: Bacterial small subunit ribosomal RNA
Source: RNAcentral
AUACGUAGGGGGCGAGCGUUGUCCGGAAUGAUUGGGCGUAAAGGGCGCGUAGGCGGCCCGGUAAGUCUGGAGUGAAAGUCCUGCUUUUAAGGUGGGAAUUGCUUUGGAUACUGUCGGGCUUGCGUGCAGGAGAGGUAAGUGGAAUUUCCAGUGUAGCGGUGAAAUGCGUAGAGAUUGGGAGGAACACCAGUGGCGAAGGCGACUUACUGGACUGUAACUGACGCUGAGGCGCGAAAGUGUGGGGAGCAAACAGGAUUAGAUACCCUGGUAGUCCACACUGUAAACGAUGAAUGCUAGGUGUAGGGGGUAUCGACCCCUUCUGUGCCGCAGUUAACACAAUAAGCAUUCCGCCUGGGGAGUACGGCCGCAAGGUUGAAACUCAAAUGAAUUGACGGGG